This 496-nucleotide ribosomal RNA is filed under the name uncultured bacterium. Its description in RNAcentral is "partial 16S ribosomal RNA". It matches the Rfam family "Bacterial small subunit ribosomal RNA", at positions 29 to 507 of the family's 1533-position model. The record is from RNAcentral.
AUGAACGCUGGCGGCGUGCCUAAUACAUGCAAGUCGAACGAACGGACGAGAAGCUUGCUUCUCUGAUGUUAGCGGCGGACGGGUGAGUAACACGUGGAUAACCUACCUAUAAGACUGGGAUAACUUCGGGAAACCGUAGCUAAUACCGGAUAAUAUUUUGAACCGCAUGGUUCAAAAGUGAAAGACGGUCUUGCUGUCACUUAUAGAUGGAUCCGCGCUGCAUUAGCUAGUUGGUAAGGUAACGGCUUACCAAGGCAACGAUGCAUAGCCGACCUGAGAGGGUGAUCGGCCACACUGGAACUGAGACACGGUCCAGACUCCUACGGGAGGCAGCAGUAGGGAAUCUUCCGCAAUGGGCGAAAGCCUGACGGAGCAACGCCGCGUGAGUGAUGAAGGUCUUCGGAUCGUAAAACUCUGUUAUUAGGGAAGAACAUAUGUGUAAGUAACUGUGCACAUCUUGACGGUACCUAAUCAGAAAGCCACGGCUAACUACGUG